RNAcentral lists this long non-coding RNA (1690 nucleotides) under Volvox carteri. RNAcentral's name for it is "long non-coding RNA (VCAR_LNC002956)". The record is from RNAcentral. Lineage: Eukaryota; Viridiplantae; Chlorophyta; Chlorophyceae; Chlamydomonadales; Volvocaceae.
ACGGGGGGCCGGUGCAUGGCUCCCCCUGUGCCGUACGACACCGAACGGGUUGACCUCGUACGCUGGCGCAUACAUGACGCGCUUAAACUGCAACAAGGACAAAAACCAGCACCAGGCAUUACUUUUUGUUGCGGGGGAAAUGGUCGCUCUUCUUUUUUACCAGCAGAGCAGAGCAGCAUAAUAGUAACAAUAUUAUUAAGUACAUCCACAAAAUAUUCGGAUUUAUGGUAGUGUGUGGGCGGGUGUGCAUUUUUUUAUUAUUUAUCAAUCAUGUUAAAAUAGUACUUCGGGCUUCAAUAAAACAACACAACAUCCCCCACAUCAUGCAAGGCGGCGGCAGCAGAGGCACAGCAUAUAGCGGUGGUGAGAACAGUGGCGGCGGCGACAAAGCAGCGGCGGAGGCAGAGGCAGCAGCGGCGGUGGCGGUAACGACGGUGGCGACAGUGGCGGCUGUGACGGCAGCGGCGGCGGCAGAGGCAGCAGCGACAGCGGUGCCGACAGAGGGGUAACGACAGCGGCAGCAGCUACUACAAGAGGUGGUGGUGUCAGUGGCCGUGGCGACAAAGCAGGGGCGGAGGCAGAGGCAGCAGCGACAGCGGUGGCGACAGCGGCAGCGGCUACAGAGGUGGUGGUGAUAGUGGCUUUGCGGCGACGGUGGCUGCAGCGACAGCAGCUGCGGCAGGAGAGGCAGCAGCGGCGGUGGCGACGGUGGCGACGGUGGCGGCGGCGGUGGAAGCAGCGGUGGUGGCGACAGCGACAGCGGCAGCGGCAGCGGCAGCGGCGGUGGUGACGGCGGCGGCGACAGCGGCGGCGGUGGCGGCGGUGACGACGGUGGCGACAGUGGCGGCGGCGACAAAGCAGCGGCGGCAGCAGAGGCAGCAGCGACAGCGGUGCCGACAGCGGCAGCAGCUACAGAGGUGGUGGUGUCAGUGGCGGCGGCGACAAAGCAGCGGCGGAGGCAGAGGCAGCAGCGACAGUGGUGGCGACGGUGGCGACAGCGGCAGCGGCUACAGAGGUGGUGGUGAUAGUGGCUUUGCGGCGACGGUGGCUGCAGCGACAGCAGCUGCGGCAGGAGAGGCAGCAGCGGCGGUGGUGACGGUGGCGACGGUGGCGGCGGCGGUGGAAGCAGCGGGUAGUGGCGACAGCGACAGCGGCAGCGGCGGUGGUGACGGCGGCGGCGACAGCGGCGGCGGUGGCGGCGGUGGCGGCGGUAACGACGGUGGCGACAGUGGCGGCGGCGACAAAGCAGCGGCGGCGGCAGAGGCAGCAGCGACAGCGGUGCCGACAGAGGGGUGGCAACAGCGGCAGCAGCUACAGAGGUGGUGGUGUCAGUGGCAGCGGCGACAGUGGCUGCAGCGACAGCAGCUGCGGCAGCAGCGGCGGCGGCGGUGGCGGCGGUGGCGACGGUGGCGGCGGCGGUGGAAGCAGCGGUGGCGACAGCGGUGGUGACAGUGGCGGUGGCAGCGGUGGCGGCAGCGACAGCGGCCGCGGCGGCGGCAACAGCACGACAGUGGCGACACAUAGCGACACGGCAGCCCCUUUUCUCCUACUAUAUUAUACCCAUAUGCAUGCCUGAUCCCUCUCCCUCUCUCCUCCUCCUCUCACCUCGAGGGCGCGCUUCACCUCCAGCUCUGCCGCCUCUCCCAUGGUGCUCAACUCGAUGGUCUCCAGCUGCUUGCAGGACAGCAUG